This 265-nucleotide ribosomal RNA is filed under the name uncultured soil bacterium. Its description in RNAcentral is "partial 16S ribosomal RNA". It matches the Rfam family "Bacterial small subunit ribosomal RNA", at positions 27 to 293 of the family's 1533-position model. The record is from RNAcentral.
GAACGAACGCUGGCGGCGUGGAUAAGACAUGCAAGUCGAGCGCUGAUUUCUCUGUAGCAAUAUAGGGGAGUCGGAGCGGCGCAAGGGUGCGUAACACGUGGGUCAUCUGCCCUGAAGUUCGGAAUAAUUCCGCGAAAGCGGGACUAAUGCCGGAUGUGGACGAGAGUCUAAAGCUGGAACCGCAAGGUCUGGCGCUUCGUGGAUGAGCCCGCGGCCUAUCAGCUAGUUGGCGGGUAACGCCACAAGCUAAGACGGUAGCUGGUCU